This 467-nucleotide ribosomal RNA is filed under the name uncultured bacterium. RNAcentral describes it as "partial 16S ribosomal RNA". It matches the Rfam family "Bacterial small subunit ribosomal RNA", at positions 29 to 507 of the family's 1533-position model. The record is from RNAcentral.
ACGAACGCUGGCGGCGUGCUUAACACAUGCAAGUCGAACGGAAAGACCCUGCUUUUGUGGGGUGCUCGAGUGGCGAACGGGUGAGUAACACGUGAGUAACCUGCCCUUGACUUUGGGAUAACUUCAGGAAACUGGGGCUAAUACCGGAUAGGAGCUCCUGCUGCAUGGUGGGGGUUGGAAAGUUUCGGCGGUUGGGGAUGGACUCGCGGCUUAUCAGCUUGUUGGUGGGGUAGUGGCUUAUCAAGGCUUUGACGGGUAGCCGGCCUGAGAGGGUGACCGGCCACAUUGGGACUGAGAUACGGCCCAGACUCCUACGGGAGGCAGCAGUGGGGAAUAUUGCACAAUGGGCGGAAGCCUGAUGCAGCAACGCCGCGUGCGGGAUGACGGCCUUCGGGUUGUAAACCGCUUUCGCCUGUGACGAAGCGUGAGUGACGGUAAUGGGUAAAGAAGCACCGGCUAACUACGUG